UCUCUCUCCCCGAUUCUUCUCCCUCUUCCUCUUCCUCUUCAGCUUCGUUUUAUCUCUCCUCUGUCGUCGCCGUCGCUUCUUCACCGCCGGAGAUCGAUCUCCCCCACCACCGUUGAUCUCUACCCUCUUCCAGAUCAGACUACUUCAGAAGCAGUUGGAGGAGGAAGAGAAGCUUUCAAAGCAGCACGUUGAGGCUCUUAAAGGGCAUUAUCAGAAGUACGAGAUGAUAGAUUCUACUUUAGGUGAUGGCACCUCAAAGCGUCUAUCUAAGUGCUACGGGGUAAAUCUCAAUGAUGACUAAGGAAUCUGACUUGAGUGAAGCUGAUGUCUUCUUCUCUGGUAGCAGCUGCUGUUGCGAGAAGUUUGUUGCUGGUUGCACUUUCCUAAGCUGGAUGACCUGCUCUUCUUUGUUGUUGUUGUUGUGUUAGAUGAAGUAUUCAAACAUACUACUUCACCCGGCUUAAAGGUGUUGCUGCAAAGGCUGAUGUCUUUCACAUCUUGUCUGGAAUGUGGAAGACUCCUGCAGAGCGUUGCUUCAUGUGGAUUGGCGGCUUUUUCCCAUUAGAACUCUUGAAGCUUCUGGUGAAUCAGUUGGAGCCCUUGACAGAGCACCAGUGUUAGUGGGUAUCUACAACUUGCAGCAGUCCUCUCAGCAGGCAGAAGAACCCUUAUCGCAAGGAAUGGAAGCACUGCAACAGUCUCUAGCUGAUACAUUAGCCAGUGGUACACCAUGCCCUUCUGGCUCAUCCGGCAAUGUAGCUAACUAUAUGGGCCAGAUGGCAAUGGCCAUGGGAAAAUUAGGAACUCUUGAAGGAUUUCUGC
Spinacia oleracea (spinach) is the source of this 822-nucleotide long non-coding RNA. RefSeq lists it as uncharacterized. The transcript has 4 exons. Lineage: Eukaryota; Viridiplantae; Streptophyta; Magnoliopsida; Caryophyllales; Amaranthaceae. The record is from RefSeq and is a predicted model, not a curated record.